GUAAUUGCUCGUGAUUUUACAGGUCACAGGCACAUGAAAAUCUUCAACACCCCCAGCAACUCCAGCACCUUCACUGGCUUCAUCCUCCUGGGCUUCCCUUGCCCCAGGGAGGGACAGAUCCUCCUCGUUGUGCUCUUCACUGUUGUUUACCUCCUGACCCUCAUGGGCAAUGGUUCCAUCAACUGUGCUGUGCACUGGGUCAGAGACUCCAUGCCCCCAUGUACAUCCUGCUCGCCAACUUCUCCUUCCUGGAGAUCUGUUAUGUCACCUCUACAGUCCCCAACGUGCUGGCCAACUUCCUCUCUGACACAAGAUCAUCUCGUUCUCUGGCUGCUUCCUCCAAUUCUACUUUUUUUUCUCCUUGGGCUCUACAGAAUGCUUUUUCCUGGGAGCUAUGGCAUUUGACCUAUACCUUGCCAUCUGCCGGCCUCUACGCUAUCCAACCAUUAUGACCAGACGUCUCUGCAACAUUCUUGUGGGCAGCUGCUGGGUACUUGGUUUCUUGUGGUUCCUGAUUCCUAUCAGUGUCAUUUCUCAAAUGACCUGUGGAUCUAGGAUUAUUGACCACUUCCCAUGUGACCCAGGUCCUCUGUUAGCCCUCACCUGUACCAGAGCCCCUCUACUAGAGUUGACUAGCUCCACCUUAAGUUCUCUACUUCUAUUUAUUCCCUUUCUCUUCAUCGUGGGGUGCUAUGCUCUGGUCCUGAGAGCUGUGUUGAGGGUUCCUUCAGCAUCUGGAAGAAGAAAGGCUUUCUCUACCUGUGGCUCCCACCUGGCUGUAGUUUCACUGUUUAUGGCUCAAUGAUGAUCACGUAUGUGAGCCCAACAUCUGGGCAUGAAUUCGGAAUGCAGAAGACUGUGACUCUGUUCUAUUCUGUGGUCACUCCCCUUAUUAAUCCUGUCAUAUACAGUCUGAGGAACAAGGAAAUGAAACAUGCAAUGAGGAACUACACUGUAAUGUUUUAUUU
Molecule: long non-coding RNA, 968 nt
Filed under: Homo sapiens (human)
Lineage: Eukaryota; Metazoa; Chordata; Mammalia; Primates; Hominidae
Description: non-protein coding lnc-OR11G2-1:1
Source: RNAcentral